RNAcentral lists this ribosomal RNA (1220 nucleotides) under Paenibacillus sp. LDC-8-i3. RNAcentral's name for it is "partial 16S ribosomal RNA". The stretch from base 1 to 943 matches the Rfam family "Bacterial small subunit ribosomal RNA". Lineage: Bacteria; Bacillati; Bacillota; Bacilli; Caryophanales; Paenibacillaceae. The record is from RNAcentral.
UCAAGUCGAGCGGAGUUCAUCGGGAGCUUGCUUCGGAUGAACUUAGCGGCGGACGGGUGAGUAACGCGUGGGCAACCUGCCCGUGAGACUGGGAUAACUACGGGAAACGGUACCUAAUACCGGAUACGCAAGUUCCUCGCAUGAGGGGCUUGGGAAAGGCGGAGCAAUCUGUCACUUACGGAUGGGCCUGCGGCGCAUUAGCUAGUACGUAUGGUAACGGCCUACCUACGCGACUAUGCGUAGCCGACCUGAGAGGGUGAACGGCCACACUGGGACUGAGACACCGCCCAGACUCCUACGGGAGGCAACAUUAGGGAAUCUUCCGCAAUGGACGAAAGUCUGACGGAGCGACGCCGCGUGAGUGAUGAAUGUUUUCGGAUCGUAAAGCUCUGUUGCCGGGGAAAAACGUCUUAGAUAGUAACUGCUCUAAGAGUGACGGUACCUGAGAAGAAAGCCCCGGCUAACUACCUGCCAGCAGCCGCGGUAAUACGUAGGGGGCGAGCGUUGUCCGGAAUUAUUGGGCGUAAAGCGCGCGCAGGCGGCUGUUUAAGUCUGGUGUUUAAUCCUGGGGCUCAACCCCGGGUCGCACUGGAAACUGGACGGCUUGAGUGCAGAAGAGGAGAGUGGAAUUCCACGUGUAGCGGUGAAAUGCGUAGAGAUGUGGAGGAACACCAGUGGCCAAGUCGACUCUCUGGGCUGUUAACUGACGCUGAGCGCGCGAAAGCGUGGAGGAGCAAACACGAUUAGAUACCCUGGUACUCCACGCCGUAAACUAUGAAUGCUAGGUGUUAGGGGUUUUCUAUAUCCUUGUUGCCCAAGUUAACACAUUAAUCAUUCCGCCUGCCGAGUACUGCCGCACGGCUGAAACUCAUAAGGAGUUCACGCGCACGCGCGCACGCGUGUAGUAUGUUGUUUAAUUAAAGCAGCUCACAUAACAUACCUCGCGUGACGUCUCCUGAUGGAGUGGAGAUUAUUCGUAUCGUGCAGUACAGGACAGAGAGAUGAGCACGCUGUGUCUCUCUGUCGAGAUAUUUGAGAUAGUCAAACUAGACAUCGUGCCUUUGUUCUCUCGUGUUCUGAUGUACGUUAGAUACUCGUGCACACCGAGACUGGGAUAGUUCAUUCAUGCGCUUUACUGCUAACGGUCGUACAUGCGUACGGGAUCUACGACUGAAAGCUGGACCCUAAUAGCCAUGCAGUGCACUCCCUGGACCGAAUCG